UACAGAGGGUGCGAGCGUUGUCCGGAAUUACUGGGCGUAAAGGGCGCGUAGGCGGCCCGAUAAGUCGGGGGUGAAAGUCAGCGGCUCAACCGCUGGACUGCCUUCGAGACUGUUAGGCUUGAGCAUGGUAGAGGCUGGCGGAAUUCCCGGUGUAGCGGUGGAAUGCGUAGAGAUCGGGAAGAACAUCGGUGGCGAAGGCGGCCAGCUGGGCCAUUGCUGACGCUGAUGCGCGACAGCGUGGGGAGCAAACGGG
Molecule: ribosomal RNA, 253 nt
Filed under: uncultured bacterium
Lineage: Bacteria
Description: partial 16S ribosomal RNA
Rfam family: Bacterial small subunit ribosomal RNA
Source: RNAcentral